This 465-nucleotide ribosomal RNA is filed under the name Vreelandella stevensii. RNAcentral describes it as "partial 16S ribosomal RNA". It matches the Rfam family "Bacterial small subunit ribosomal RNA", at positions 338 to 795 of the family's 1533-position model. Lineage: Bacteria; Pseudomonadati; Pseudomonadota; Gammaproteobacteria; Oceanospirillales; Halomonadaceae. The record is from RNAcentral.
CCUACGGGGGGCAGCAGUGGGGAAUAUUGGACAAUGGGGGCAACCCUGAUCCAGCCAUGCCGCGUGUGUGAAGAAGGCCCUCGGGUUGUAAAGCACUUUCAGUGAGGAAGAACGCCUGGUGGUUAAUACCCAUCAGGAAAGACAUCACUCACAGAAGAAGCACCGGCUAACUCCGUGCCAGCAGCCGCGGUAAUACGGAGGGUGCGAGCGUUAAUCGGAAUUACUGGGCGUAAAGCGCGCGUAGGUGGCUUGAUAAGCCGGUUGUGAAAGCCCCGGGCUCAACCUGGGAACGGCAUCCGGAACUGUCAAGCUAGAUUGCAGAAGAGGAAUGUAGAAUUCCCGCUGUAGCGAUCAAAUACUUAGAGAUCGAGAGGAAUACCAGUUGCGAAGGCCGCCUUCUGCACUUACACUGACACUGAAGUGCUAAAUCGUGGCUAUCAAACAGCAUUAGAUACCCGGGUAGUC